RNAcentral lists this ribosomal RNA (449 nucleotides) under uncultured bacterium. RNAcentral's name for it is "bacterial SSU rRNA". It matches the Rfam family "Bacterial small subunit ribosomal RNA", at positions 329 to 795 of the family's 1533-position model. The record is from RNAcentral.
UCCCAGACUCCUACGGGAGGCAGCAGUGGGGGAUAUUGCACAAUGGGGGAAACCCUGAUGCAGCGACGCCGCGUGGGUGAAGAAGCGCCUCGGCGCGUAAAGCUCUAUCAGCAGGGAAGAAGAUGACGGUACCUGACUAAGAAGCCCCGGCUAACUACGUGCCAGCAGCCGCGGUAAUACGUAGGGGGCAAGCGUUAUCCGGAUUUACUGGGUGUAAAGGGAGCGUAGACGGCGAUGCAAGCCAGAUGUGAAAGCCCGGGGCUCAACCCCGGGACUGCAUUUGGAACUGUGUGGCUGGAGUGUCGGAGAGGCAGGCGGAAUUCCUAGUGUAGCGGUGAAAUGCGUAGAUAUCAGGAGGAACACCGGUGGCGAAGGCGGCCUGCUGGACUGCAACUGACGUUGAGGCCCGAAAGCGUGGGGAGCAAACAGGAUUAGAUACCCUGGUACAC